UACGGAGGGUGCAAGCGUUAUCCGGAAUCACUGGGCGUAAAGCGUCUGUAGGUGGUCCAAUAAGUCAACUGUUAAAUCUUGAGGCUCAACCUCAAAACCGCAGUCGAAACUAUUAGACUAGAGUAUAGUAGGGGUAAAGGGAAUUUCCAGUGGAGCGGUGAAAUGCGUAGAGAUUGGAAAGAACACCGAUGGCGAAGGCACUUUACUGGGCUAUUACUGACACUCAGAGACGAAAGCUAGGGUAGCAAAUGGGAUUAGAUACCCGCGUAGUCC
RNAcentral lists this ribosomal RNA (273 nucleotides) under uncultured bacterium. Its description in RNAcentral is "partial 16S ribosomal RNA". It matches the Rfam family "Bacterial small subunit ribosomal RNA", at positions 524 to 796 of the family's 1533-position model. The record is from RNAcentral.